Long non-coding RNA from Contarinia nasturtii (swede midge), 354 nucleotides. RefSeq lists it as uncharacterized. NCBI's taxonomy places the organism in Eukaryota, Metazoa, Arthropoda, Insecta, Diptera, Cecidomyiidae. The record is from RefSeq and is a predicted model, not a curated record. The transcript is spliced from 2 exons.
UAUCCCCUAGAGCUCCGAAGGGGGUAAGUGUUUAUUCAAUUUUUUACUCGCCAGUCGAAGGAACCUGUAAGAAAAAUAUAUGCACUUCGUGGUUCAUUUGGAAGCGUACAUCAUUUAUUCUCGGCCAUAGUAUAAUGGAAAUUUAUUGGAAUAUACCAAAGCAUACGGAACCGGGACAAUAUCGAAUAUCGCAUUUUGGAUACAGUAGACAUAUACUCGGUGAACUUAUUUCUUAUCAAGGAAGAACACGUAUUUUUUAUGUUGACUUGUGAAGAAUUUUUAUGUUAUAAUAUGUUCCUUCGCCUUGGUGGUUUAUUGAAAAUAAUUUAAUUAAAUAAAUAUAAUAUAAUACAA